Molecule: long non-coding RNA, 1397 nt
Organism: Aegilops tauschii subsp. strangulata
Lineage: Eukaryota; Viridiplantae; Streptophyta; Magnoliopsida; Poales; Poaceae
Source: RefSeq, a predicted model, not a curated record
CAUCUCCUCCCCGCCGCCGCCCCUUCCCGAUCCAGUCCUCCGUCUCACCCCCCUCCUCUCCCCUCAACCAAGGACGACGGAGAUCCAGUCCUCUCCCCGCGCCGCAACCCUUCCUCCCACCCACCGCCGACGUCGCCGUCCUCCUCACCCACCGCCCACCUCGUCCCUCCCUCCCCUCACCAUCUCUUCCCACCCUCCGCCCUCUCUGCCCCCUGCCUCGAUCCCCCAGACCAAUUGACACAACCCCGCCGCCCCGCACCCCAUACUGUCCACCAUGGCCGCCUCCUCCUCCUCGCUCCGGAUCCCCGCACCAACCCACCACCCCGCCGUGGGGGCGCGUCCGCGGCUGCUGCCCUUCCACGCCAUCUCCGUCCGCCCCUGCCGCUCCGCAGUCUCCUCCGUCUCCGCCUCCUCCCCGCAGCAGGCGCCGACACAGGGCGACGGCGACGACGCCAAUGGGCCCACCGGCGUGCCCGUGCCUUUCUCCCGUGCCCUCCCCGGCGGUGGCGGCGGUUGGGCGAGCGGUGGAGGAGGUGUGUUCGGCACUAAACAAGCACGCUGACGUGGUGGCGGAGCUCUUCGGCCGCGUCUCCACCGAGCUCUGCGGCGGGUUCGGCCCCGCCGUCGACUCCUUCGUCGGCUUUUUCCACGCCGUCGUCUGGAAGGCCGCUGAUGAGCGCGGACCAUCGAGAUCAAGGCCGCCGAGGGCCGCUGAUGAGCGCGGACCAUCGAGAUCAAGGCCGCCGAGGUACAAAUACUAGAAAACUGCUGCUGCAGGACGUCCUCCUCCCCUCCUCCUACCCUCACACGUGCUAUGGGUUAACGAUGAUGAAUUUGUUCUAUUUGGAGGCAUUGGUGCCCCAUCAUCGAGUGCACGGAUGCAACAACAACAAGAAGAUCAUGGUCGUGCGUAUCAUCAAGCACACCAUGGAGAUCAUCCAUCUCACCGAUGCUAACUCAAUCCUGAUCACUGUCGACGCUAUCAUCCACAGGGGCCUCAAAUUUUUGGAGAUGGCCCUGGUUCUCUUGCAGGGAUAUGAUGAUAUUUCCAAGGAAAUAUACUGAACCUGAUGUGACAAAGGGUUGUUUGGACCUGGGAAUUUUAAUGCUGGGUUGAUGAGUUCAUUUGGCUGACCUACAAUAUGGACAUGGGAUUGGCUGUGUGGUUUGAUGAUGUUGCACUCGUUGGUGCCAUCUUAUGAGUAUGGUGAUGAUCCUAAGUAAUUGGUUGUGUUAUUUUGGUUGGUACUAUCUUAUAAACAUGUGGUGUAAUGAUACUACUGGGACAAAGUUGGCGAAAUCCUGUGUUGUUUGUUUAUUCUGUUGUGUUAUUUCGAGAUUCUGUGGUGUAAUGGUACUGUUGUGUUAUUUUGAGAAUUAUAUUAUUAUUAUCAUUA